GAUGAAGAACGAAGCGAAAUGCGAUAAGUAAUGUGAAUUGCAGAAUUCAGUGAAUCAUCGAAUCUUUGAACGCACAUUGCGCCCGCCAGUAUUCUGGCGGGCAUGCCUGUUCGAGCGUCAUUUCAACCCUCAGGCCCCCAGUGCCUGGUGUUGGGGAUCGGCCCAGCCUUCCUGUAAGGCCGCCGGCCCCGAAAUCUAGUGGCGGUCUCGCUGUAGUCCUCCUCUGCGUAGUAGCACAACCUCGCAGUUGGAACGCGGCGGUGGCCAUGCCGUUAAACACCCCACUUCUGAAAGUUGACCUCGGAUCAGGUAGGAAUACCCGCUGAACUUAAGCAUAUCAAAAGCGGAGGA
Molecule: unclassified non-coding RNA, 351 nt
Filed under: soil metagenome
Description: partial contains 5.8S ribosomal RNA, internal transcribed spacer 2, and large subunit ribosomal RNA
Rfam family: 5.8S ribosomal RNA (bases 1-120)
Source: RNAcentral